RNAcentral lists this ribosomal RNA (506 nucleotides) under uncultured bacterium. RNAcentral's name for it is "partial 16S ribosomal RNA". It matches the Rfam family "Bacterial small subunit ribosomal RNA", at positions 30 to 523 of the family's 1533-position model. The record is from RNAcentral.
AUUGAACGCUGGCGGCAGGCCUAACACAUGCAAGUCGAGCGGCAGCGGAAAGUAGCUUGCUACUUUGCCGGCGAGCGGCGGACGGGUGAGUAAUGUCUGGGAAACUGCCUGAUGGAGGGGGAUAACUACUGGAAACGGUAGCUAAUACCGCAUAACGUCGCAAGACCAAAGAGGGGGACCUUCGGGCCUCUUGCCAUCAGAUGUGCCCAGAUGGGAUUAGCUAGUAGGUGGGGUAACGGCUCACCUAGGCGACGAUACCUAGCUGGUCUGAGAGGAUGACCAGCCAAACUGGAACUGAGACACGGUCCAGACUCCUAAGGGAGGCAGCAGUUGGUAAUAUUGCACAAUGGGCGCAAGCCUGAUGCAGCCAUGCCGCGUGUAUGAAGAAGGCCUUCGGGUUGUAAAGUACUUUCAGCGGGGAGGAAGGCGUUGUGGUUAAUAACCACAGCGAUUGACGUUACCCGCAGAAGAAGCACCGGCUAACUCCGUGCCAGCAGCCGCAGUAA